GGGUUGUGAGGUUAAGCGACUAAGCGUACACGGUGGAUGCCCUGGCAGUCAGAGGCGAUGAAGGACGUGCUAAUCUGCGAUAAGCGUCGGUAAGGUGAUAUGAACCGUUAUAACCGGCGAUUUCCGAAUGGGGAAACCCAGUGUGUUUCGACACACUAUCAUUAACUGAAUCCAUAGGUUAAUGAGGCGAACCGGGGGAACUGAAACAUCUAAGUACCCCGAGGAAAAGAAAUCAACCGAGAUUCCCCCAGUAGCGGCGAGCGAACGGGGAGCAGCCCAGAGCCUGAAUCAGUGUGUGUGUUAGUGGAAGCGUCUGGAAAGGCGCGCGAUACAGGGUGACAGCCCCGUACACAAAAAUGCACAUGCUGUGAGCUCGAUGAGUAGGGCGGGACACGUGGUAUCCUGUCUGAAUAUGGGGGGACCAUCCUCCAAGGCUAAAUACUCCUGACUGACCGAUAGUGAACCAGUACCGUGAGGGAAAGGCGAAAAGAACCCCGGCGAGGGGAGUGAAAAAGAACCUGAAACCGUGUACGUACAAGCAGUGGGAGCACGCUUAGGCGUGUGACUGCGUACCUUUUGUAUAAUGGGUCAGCGACUUAUAUUCUGUAGCAAGGUUAACCGAAUAGGGGAGCCGAAGGGAAACCGAGUCUUAACUGGGCGUUAAGUUGCAGGGUAUAGACCCGAAACCCGGUGAUCUAGCCAUGGGCAGGUUGAAGGUUGGGUAACACUAACUGGAGGACCGAACCGACUAAUGUUGAAAAAUUAGCGGAUGACUUGUGGCUGGGGGUGAAAGGCCAAUCAAACCGGGAGAUAGCUGGUUCUCCCCGAAAGCUAUUUAGGUAGCGCCUCGUGAAUUCAUCUCCGGGGGUAGAGCACUGUUUCGGCAAGGGGGUCAUCCCGACUUACCAACCCGAUGCAAACUGCGAAUACCGGAGAAUGUUAUCACGGGAGACACACGGCGGGUGCUAACGUCCGUCGUGAAGAGGGAAACAACCCAGACCGCCAGCUAAGGUCCCAAAGUCAUGGUUAAGUGGGAAACGAUGUGGGAAGGCCCAGACAGCCAGGAUGUUGGCUUAGAAGCAGCCAUCAUUUAAAGAAAGCGUAAUAGCUCACUGGUCGAGUCGGCCUGCGCGGAAGAUGUAACGGGGCUAAACCAUGCACCGAAGCUGCGGCAGCGACACUAUGUGUUGUUGGGUAGGGGAGCGUUCUGUAAGCCUGUGAAGGUGUACUGUGAGGUAUGCUGGAGGUAUCAGAAGUGCGAAUGCUGACAUAAGUAACGAUAAAGCGGGUGAAAAGCCCGCUCGCCGGAAGACCAAGGGUUCCUGUCCAACGUUAAUCGGGGCAGGGUGAGUCGACCCCUAAGGCGAGGCCGAAAGGCGUAGUCGAUGGGAAACAGGUUAAUAUUCCUGUACUUGGUGUUACUGCGAAGGGGGGACGGAGAAGGCUAUGUUGGCCGGGCGACGGUUGUCCCGGUUUAAGCGUGUAGGCUGGUUUUCCAGGCAAAUCCGGAAAAUCAAGGCUGAGGCGUGAUGACGAGGCACUACGGUGCUGAAGCAACAAAUGCCCUGCUUCCAGGAAAAGCCUCUAAGCAUCAGGUAACAUCAAAUCGUACCCCAAACCGACACAGGUGGUCAGGUAGAGAAUACCAAGGCGCUUGAGAGAACUCGGGUGAAGGAACUAGGCAAAAUGGUGCCGUAACUUCGGGAGAAGGCACGCUGAUAUGUAGGUGAAGUCCCUCGCGGAUGGAGCUGAAAUCAGUCGAAGAUACCAGCUGGCUGCAACUGUUUAUUAAAAACACAGCACUGUGCAAACACGAAAGUGGACGUAUACGGUGUGACGCCUGCCCGGUGCCGGAAGGUUAAUUGAUGGGGUCAGCGCAAGCGAAGCUCUUGAUCGAAGCCCCGGUAAACGGCGGCCGUAACUAUAACGGUCCUAAGGUAGCGAAAUUCCUUGUCGGGUAAGUUCCGACCUGCACGAAUGGCGUAAUGAUGGCCAGGCUGUCUCCACCCGAGACUCAGUGAAAUUGAACUCGCUGUGAAGAUGCAGUGUACCCGCGGCAAGACGGAAAGACCCCGUGAACCUUUACUAUAGCUUGACACUGAACAUUGAGCCUUGAUGUGUAGGAUAGGUGGGAGGCUUUGAAGUGUGGACGCCAGUCUGCAUGGAGCCGACCUUGAAAUACCACCCUUUAAUGUUUGAUGUUCUAACGUGGACCCGUGAUCCGGGUUGCGGACAGUGUCUGGUGGGUAGUUUGACUGGGGCGGUCUCCUCCUAAAGAGUAACGGAGGAGCACGAAGGUUGGCUAAUCCUGGUCGGACAUCAGGAGGUUAGUGCAAUGGCAUAAGCCAGCUUGACUGCGAGCGUGACGGCGCGAGCAGGUGCGAAAGCAGGUCAUAGUGAUCCGGUGGUUCUGAAUGGAAGGGCCAUCGCUCAACGGAUAAAAGGUACUCCGGGGAUAACAGGCUGAUACCGCCCAAGAGUUCAUAUCGACGGCGGUGUUUGGCACCUCGAUGUCGGCUCAUCACAUCCUGGGGCUGAAGUAGGUCCCAAGGGUAUGGCUGUUCGCCAUUUAAAGUGGUACGCGAGCUGGGUUUAGAACGUCGUGAGACAGUUCGGUCCCUAUCUGCCGUGGGCGCUGGAGAACUGAGGGGGGCUGCUCCUAGUACGAGAGGACCGGAGUGGACGCAUCACUGGUGUUCGGGUUGUCAUGCCAAUGGCACUGCCCGGUAGCUAAAUGCGGAAGAGAUAAGUGCUGAAAGCAUCUAAGCACGAAACUUGCCCCGAGAUGAGUUCUCCCUGAC
Molecule: ribosomal RNA, 2801 nt
Filed under: Escherichia coli
Lineage: Bacteria; Pseudomonadati; Pseudomonadota; Gammaproteobacteria; Enterobacterales; Enterobacteriaceae
Description: bacterial LSU rRNA
Rfam family: Bacterial large subunit ribosomal RNA
Source: RNAcentral